Molecule: long non-coding RNA, 212 nt
Filed under: Amborella trichopoda
Lineage: Eukaryota; Viridiplantae; Streptophyta; Magnoliopsida; Amborellales; Amborellaceae
Description: long non-coding RNA (ATRI_LNC004440)
Source: RNAcentral
CUUUUAUACCAGUACUGGACUUUGAGAGGCGGUCAUUUAACCACUCUUCACAGGUAAACAAUCUCUUUAAUGCACCUUCAGAUUCUCAAAUGGAGUCCACAGCUAAGUAAUCGGUCGCAAAGCGGGUUAUGGCAGGCCUGAUUAUCUCUUUUUUCUUAGAGUGUUCUCUAAACAGAAAUAAAAUUUUAGAGUGGUUGUAUAUAAAUCUCGAC